RNAcentral lists this transfer RNA (54 nucleotides) under Hygrobates taniguchii. RNAcentral's name for it is "tRNA-Cys". The record is from RNAcentral. Lineage: Eukaryota; Metazoa; Arthropoda; Arachnida; Trombidiformes; Hygrobatidae.
UUUUACUGUAAUCUAAGUUUUUUGAAUAUUAAGUUGCAAACUUAAAGGUAAAGC